AAAGCUCCCUUCGGGGAGUGCAUAGAGUGGCGCACGGGUGAGUAACACGUAAGUAAUCUACCUUUGAGUGGGGAAUAACCCGGGGAAACCCGAGCUAAUACCGCAUAAUGCAGCGGCACCGCAAGGUGACAGUUGUUAAAGGAGCAAUCCGCUUAAAGAGGAGCUUGCGGCAGAUUAGCUAGUUGGUAAGGUAACGGCUUACCAAGGCUACGAUCUGUAUCCGGUCUAAGAGGACGGUCGGACACACUGACACUGAAUAACGGGUCAGACUCCUACGGGAGGCAGCAGUCGGGAAUUUUGGGCAAUGGGGGAAACCCUGACCCAGCAACGCCGCGUGAAGGAUGAAGUAUUUCGGUAUGUAAACUUCGAAAGAAUAGGAAGAAUUAAUGACGGUACUAUUUAUAAGGUCCGGCUAACUACGUGCCAGCAGCCGCGGUAAUACGUAGGGACCAAGCGUUGUUCGGAUUUACUGGGCGUAAAGGGCGCGUAGGCGGCGUGGUAAGUCACUUGUGAAAUCUCUGAGCUUAACUCAGAACGGCCAAGUGAUACUGCUGUGCUAGAGUGCAGAAGGGGCAAUCGGAAUUCUUGGUGUAGCGGUGAAAUGCGUAGAUAUCAAGAGGAACACCUGAGGUGAAGACGGGUUGCUGGGCUGACACUGACGCUGAGGCGCGAAAGCCAGGGGAGCAAACGGGAUUAGAUACCCCGGUAGUCCUGGCCCUAAACGAUGAAUACUUGGUGUCUGGAGUUUUAAUGCUCCGGGUGCCGUCGCUAACGUUUUUAGU
RNAcentral lists this ribosomal RNA (782 nucleotides) under uncultured Bacillota bacterium. RNAcentral's name for it is "bacterial SSU rRNA". It matches the Rfam family "Bacterial small subunit ribosomal RNA", at positions 70 to 865 of the family's 1533-position model. Lineage: Bacteria; Bacillati; Bacillota. The record is from RNAcentral.